CCAGGAAAAUGACCUAUGAAUUGACAGACUGCUUCCCAAAUUUGCCUGUCAUUUCUAUAGGCCAAUAUUCUGC
Molecule: microRNA precursor, 73 nt
Filed under: Mesitornis unicolor (brown roatelo)
Lineage: Eukaryota; Metazoa; Chordata; Aves; Mesitornithiformes; Mesitornithidae
Description: mir-192/215 microRNA precursor family
Rfam family: mir-192/215 microRNA precursor family
About the family: This family represents the human microRNA (miRNA) precursors mir-192 and mir-215. Animal miRNAs are transcribed as ~70nt precursors and subsequently processed by the Dicer enzyme to give a ~22nt product.
Source: Rfam by way of RNAcentral